Molecule: small nucleolar RNA, 77 nt
Organism: Lactuca sativa (garden lettuce)
Lineage: Eukaryota; Viridiplantae; Streptophyta; Magnoliopsida; Asterales; Asteraceae
Product: small nucleolar RNA snoR53Y
Source: RefSeq, a predicted model, not a curated record
GUUCCCGAUGAUGCAUGAAUUUGACCAUGCUAAUUCUGAUUAUGAUGAUACAUUGUUAUGUCAUUUCUGAGGGAACA